This 868-nucleotide long non-coding RNA is filed under the name Phoenix dactylifera (date palm). Its description in RNAcentral is "long non-coding RNA (PDAC_LNC002375)". The record is from RNAcentral. Lineage: Eukaryota; Viridiplantae; Streptophyta; Magnoliopsida; Arecales; Arecaceae.
GUUCAAUCCCAUGAACUACGAUUCUUCAGUAAAAAAGUUAUCAUAGGACAAAUUCUAAACUAUCUUGAUGCCUACAUGGUUUAAGCUCAUGCAUCAAGAGCAAAACUUGUUAUUGCAUAAUAUGCUUGCAUGUAGGUUUCUAAUGUCAUUACUAAUCUUUAGAUAAAUCAUAGUUUAUGACACCUCUCGCUAAGCUUACUAAAUUUUUAAAAGGAAUGGGAAGAUGGAUGAAGAUAACUUUGGCGGAUGAAGUGGCGAGGUGCCUCUAAGGCAUCACAUGAUUUUGAAUAAUGCACCAAUAGUGUAUACUUCAAAGUGUUGGUAAUGAAAGAAUCUCCAUCGAAAGAAGAUGACUAUGAUAGAACUAGAAAUAUUAACAUGAAUGUGUUGUAAAAGUAGAAAUAGAGUGACAAACUAAAUUAUUGGAGAGAGCAUAGUAGACAAACCAAUCCAGAAGAAAGUAAUCAAGAAACAUUUGGGAUGGUGUGAGCAUGUUUGAUGGGAAUUUGAGGAGGCCUUGUUUAGAAGAGGCUCCUGAAUCUGUUUAAGAUUUUUAAAAAGAGGAAAAGGCCUAAGCUGAUGUGGAUGGAAGUCGUUAGGAAGAAAAUGAAAGGGCUGGCUACCAUCAUGGAGGUAGUCCUAAAUAGGAAUGACUAACUAAUAAGAAUUUAUGAAGCAAACAUUUAAUUGCUGGGACAAGCUUGAUGAUUACACUUACUAGUAAAUGCAUGCAUUGCAUUGUGUGGCAUCUUAGAUAUAGAAUGUGGUAUCUUUAAAUUGUAGAUCUCUCUAUGUGGCCUUUUCAUAUAGUUAUACUGACCUUCUUACUUCCUUUAGUUUGAAGCAGCUUUUGAGUUUAGUAAGUANN